This 587-nucleotide ribosomal RNA is filed under the name uncultured bacterium. RNAcentral describes it as "bacterial SSU rRNA". It matches the Rfam family "Bacterial small subunit ribosomal RNA", at positions 1 to 600 of the family's 1533-position model. The record is from RNAcentral.
UACAAUAAAAGGAUCCUGGUCAGGAGAAAUGGACUCUCCUAAUACAUGGAGACGAGUGAGAUGUAGUGAAGAACUCGGGGGAUUAUACUAACGGACAGCGGCGGACGGGUGAGUAGCGCGUAGGCAACCUGCCCCUGACAGAGGGACAGACAUUGGAAACGAUGAUUAAAACCUCAUGACACCGUAGAAGCACAUGCUUCAUCGGUCAAAGAUUUAUCGGUCAGGGAUGGGCCUGCGUCUGAUUAACUAGUUGGUGAGGUAACGGCUCACCAAGGUGACGAUCAGUAGCCGACCUGAGAGGGUGAUCGGCCACAUUGGAACUGAGACACGGUCCAAACUUCUACGGAAGGCAGCAGUAGGGAAUCUUGCACAAUGGGCGAAAGCCUGAUGCAGCAACGCCGCGUGAAGGAUGAAGGCCUUCGGGUUGUAAACUUCUGUUCUAAGGGAAGAAACAAAUGACGGUACCUUAGGAGCAAGCCCCGGCUAACUACGUGCCAGCAGCCGCGGUAAUACGUAGGGGGCAAGCGUUAUCCGGAAUUAUUGGGCGUAAAGAGUGCGCACGUGGUUACCUAAGCCCAUGGUUCAAU